CAUCCAUGACUCGGAAAGAAACAUCCAUAUUCAUCAUAUAAAUGCUUGCACCUACCGGGAUUCGAACCCGGGACCUCUAGCUUAGUAGAUAGGAUCGUUAACCACUCGGCUAUACAGGUCUAUAUGUAUAGAUUGUCUUGUUCGGUCAUAGCAAUGGUUUCUUAGCGUGGGCGGGUGUAAGGUGGCCUUGCAGAAUAUUAUAUAUUUAUACAAUAACAUUUUGGAUAGGAAAGUGGGAUUUUAUAUAACUUAUGCGUAUUAUUUCAAGUCAAUUCGUUAUUGAGUGAGUAAAAAGAUGUUAAAUGAAGCGCAAAACUUAUUAUGAAGUUAUGAAAACAAUUGAAAUUAGAUAGAUUUUAUUCAUGUUCACUGAAUGUGCCUUAAAUUUAUUUUUAAGUAAAAGACGAAUGAAUGGGAAAAAUACUAUUGAAAUUAUCACUAAAAUUUAUUUAAUAAAUUACCUAAAAAUCUAA
Long non-coding RNA from Leptidea sinapis, 473 nucleotides. RefSeq lists it as uncharacterized. Lineage: Eukaryota; Metazoa; Arthropoda; Insecta; Lepidoptera; Pieridae. The transcript has 2 exons. The record is from RefSeq and is a predicted model, not a curated record.